AUUUAUAAAACUUACCAGUUUUUCAGAAAAACAUUGAACAAUAGUUUUUCUGAACACAAAAAGCUCUUACUUCCUCUGCUGAAUUAAAGCCCUUGUCCCCUGGAGUGUUAUUACUAUUGGUUUCUUACAUUUUUGCACAAGUAAGCACAGACAUGUUCUUGAAUGUAUUGGCUACUGCCUCUGCUAAAUUACAGCCCUUAUCCCCUGGAGUGUUAUUACUGUUGCCCUAAUAAGCACAGACAUGCUCUUGAAUGUAUUGGCUAAAAAAUUACUUGCAUUCAUGCACAGCAUCCGCAGGUACAUUCUUACUGUUCUUAAACUUCUAAGGGAGGGUUCAAAAGUCUUAACUGUCCCAUACAAAUAACUGGAUUCAGAUUCUUCUUUUCCGGUAUGUAAAACCAUUUAUCAUCAUACACUGCAUGAUACAUUGAAUGGGCGCACUCAGGGGCUUAGAGAAUUCUGUCAAGAAUGCUCCUGUGCAACAAGACAAGUCAUGAAACUGCCAAGCUGCUAACUAUUCCACUGUGCUUUUGCCAGAGACUGAUUGAGUGUUUAAGUCAUACCCAAUGAACCACAUCAACUGAUUCUUGGAGCCAUGAAUGUUGAGCAAUAUGAACUGAGAGCAGGUCAAGAGAUGCUGAAGAGAAACCACAUGACGCCAGAGGAGGGUCCACCUACCUAACCCGAUCCUUAAAAAGCCAGAGCCUCACUUGAAGUUCAGACACUGAGGCAAGAGGUCGUUUUCGUCACGUGCACUUACAGAUGAAGGAAAGCUCAAAUUUCAACCUUGCGACUGAAAAACUCAGUAAAAAUGGGAAAUGUACCAUCAGAAUGUCACAUGGGAGACAGCCUGAGAUGCCGCAUUUGUAACAAAGUUCUCCCUCCAUGCACAUCCUUUGAUCAUUUAGGCAAAGAUACGGUUCGUGGACAGUACGUCUAUAUUUUCAAUGGAGGAGAAUACUACAGACCAGUUGGCUAUGAUAAUAUGUACAAGUGCAACUACUGCUUUAACAAGGAAAUCAAUGACCAAGAAAACCUAAGGAGAGAAGAGGAGAGAAGAAGAGAGGAAGAGCAGCGGAGAA
Molecule: non-coding RNA, 1082 nt
Organism: Oryzias latipes (Japanese medaka)
Lineage: Eukaryota; Metazoa; Chordata; Actinopteri; Beloniformes; Adrianichthyidae
Source: RefSeq, a predicted model, not a curated record